This 103-nucleotide non-coding RNA is filed under the name Riemerella anatipestifer. RNAcentral's name for it is "SAM-I sequence". It matches the Rfam family "SAM riboswitch aptamer (S box leader)". Rfam says of the family: The SAM riboswitch is found upstream of a number of genes which code for proteins involved in methionine or cysteine biosynthesis in Gram-positive bacteria. The record is from RNAcentral. RNAcentral also lists the same sequence under 1 other name. Lineage: Bacteria; Pseudomonadati; Bacteroidota; Flavobacteriia; Flavobacteriales; Weeksellaceae.
AUGUUAUCAAGAAAGGCGGAGGGACUAGACCCUGUGAAGCCUUAGCAACCCUUUCAUCAAGAAAGAAGGUGCUACAUUCUACCUAUUUUGGGAUAGAUAACUA